GGACUACCCGGGUAUCUAAUCCUGUUCGCUCCCCUAGCUUUCGCGCCUGAGCGUCAGUUCCCAGCCAGGACACUGCCUUCGCCUUUGGUAUUCCUCCGGAUAUCUACGCAUUUCACCACUCCACCCGGAAUUCUGUGUCCCUCUCUGGUCCUCAAGUUCGAGAGUUUUCAGAGUCCUUGCUCAGUUAAGCCGAGCACUGUCACUCCAAACUUCUCCAACCGCCUGCGCGCCCUUUACGCCCAGUAACUCCGGACAACGCUUGCCCCCUACGUCUUACCGCGGCGGCUGGCAC
RNAcentral lists this ribosomal RNA (292 nucleotides) under uncultured bacterium. RNAcentral's name for it is "partial 16S ribosomal RNA". The record is from RNAcentral.